GACGAACCGUCCUAACGUUGUUCGGAAUCACUGGGCUUAAAGGGCGCGUAGGCGGCUUGCCAAGUCAGGGGUGAAAUCCUGCAGCUUAACUGUAGAAGGGCCUUUGAUACUGGCGAGCUCGAGGGAGGUAGGGGUAUGUGGAACUUCCGGUGGAGUGGUGAAAUGCGUUGAUAUCGGAAGGAACGCCGGUGGCGAAAGCGACGUACUGGACCUCUUCUGACGCUGAGGCGCGAAAGCUAGGGGAGCAAACGGG
Molecule: ribosomal RNA, 253 nt
Filed under: uncultured bacterium
Lineage: Bacteria
Description: partial 16S ribosomal RNA
Rfam family: Bacterial small subunit ribosomal RNA
Source: RNAcentral